Long non-coding RNA from Nothoprocta perdicaria, 1121 nucleotides. RefSeq lists it as uncharacterized. The record is from RefSeq and is a predicted model, not a curated record. The transcript is spliced from 2 exons. NCBI's taxonomy places the organism in Eukaryota, Metazoa, Chordata, Aves, Tinamiformes, Tinamidae.
GAGCCACACAUCAGCACCACCGUGAUGCUCCCCUUCCUGCAAGGGUCUUCCCUCCCYGCUGUUCCAGCUUCGCGUCCGAUGAGAGACCAGAUGGGGACAACUCUGAUAUUACAGAUGUUUGCCUGUUCACACUCCGCUCCUACAGGCUUAUGAAGAAGGGGAAAACCAAGAAACAACCAACCCUCCAAAAAUCCUAAAAUAUCUACAGUUUCUCCUAACUUUUCUAUCAAAGUAAUAUUAUUUUAACAUAUUUUGCUACUGGAAAAAUUGUAGAUAACUUCAGUCAUUCAUCUUGUCUUCUCUAUGCUUUUUUUUUUUUUUUAAUGAAUGUAUGGACGGUGGAGGGAGAGGAGUCAAGUUAAGCUCGCAGGUUUACAAUUCCUCAUAUCUACCUAUCCCUUCUUUUCAAAGGUACAUCUAUUUUCAGUAGUCUAGUACUUCAUCUUCUAAAUCUUGAGACACUUUCAAUAACUCUAAGCCCAUUCACAGGAUUCAAGGACUGAUUUCACCUUGCCUAAUUAUUUGCAAAGAUCUAGGUUCUCUCUAAUUCAUUCUUUUAAAACUCUAGGCAGUAGACUAAUGUUUUGCUCCUUGGUCACAAGCACUACAUACACCCAUCCUGAGUAUGAAGGAAUCGAGUAGUCUGCCACCUCCUACAUGCUCCCUGUGUUUGGCUUGCAAGUCAAUUACGCUUGAAAUUCAACUCAUUUUCAGCCUUCUGUUAUAUUUUGUUGUCUUCCACAUCUUUCUUUGCUUUUGGUCUGCUCCAAGAGGAAAGAUAUGAUUUAAGGCCAAACAGCAAGUACACGCUACAGGCUUGAUUUCUGGUCAUUCACUGUGCCAAAAACCAGAAGAAAGGAGAAGAAACCUCAGAAGACCAUGGUAUGGAGAGCUGUCCAGAAGGGCAACAGCUGGAACAUCACCUGACGCUUCUGUAUGCCUGGUCAGCAGCUCUGUAUCCAUUAACAGCUUUCCCAAGGAAGUCUGGGCCUUUGCCAGUGAAAUGCUGUGACAAGCAGGGCUACUCCUUGGACCUUUACACCCUAAGCACCGUUGGUAGAAGUGGACACACUUAGCAGGYCCACUGAAGAGCUACUCUGUAACUAGAAAAACAUUAUUCA